UGGAUAUUAGCGCUUUGUCAGAUGUAGGA
Molecule: non-coding RNA, 29 nt
Filed under: Mus musculus (house mouse)
Lineage: Eukaryota; Metazoa; Chordata; Mammalia; Rodentia; Muridae
Source: RNAcentral